AGAGUUUGAUCCUGGCUCAGAACGAACGCUGGCGGCGUGCCUAACACAUGCAAGUCGCACGGAGUGAAGGAGCUUGCUCUUUCAUUUAGUGGCGCACGGGUGAGUAACGCGUAGAUAAUCUGCCUUAGACUCUGGGAUAACAUCUCGAAAGGGGUGCUAAUACCUGAUAAGCCCACGAUGGCGAAAGUCGUUGCGGGAAAAGGGGCCUCUGAAUAUGCUCUUGAUCUAAGAUGAGUCUGCGUACCAUUAGCUAGUUGGUAGGGUAAGAGCCUACCAAGGCGACGAUGGUUAGCUGGUCUGAGAGGAUGAUCAGCCACACUGGAACUGAGACACGGUC
Molecule: ribosomal RNA, 337 nt
Filed under: uncultured bacterium
Lineage: Bacteria
Description: bacterial SSU rRNA
Rfam family: Bacterial small subunit ribosomal RNA
Source: RNAcentral